Long non-coding RNA from Syngnathoides biaculeatus (alligator pipefish), 1552 nucleotides. RefSeq lists it as uncharacterized. The transcript has 5 exons. The record is from RefSeq and is a predicted model, not a curated record. Lineage: Eukaryota; Metazoa; Chordata; Actinopteri; Syngnathiformes; Syngnathidae.
ACCUGCUUCAACCUGUUUAUCAGCCAUUGAUUGGGUGCUUCCUAUCCAUCCAUCCGUUUUCUUUGCCGCUUAUCCGCACGAGGGUCGCAUGGAGUGCUGGAGCCUAUCCCGGCUGUCAACGGGCAGGAGGCGUGGUACACCCUGAACUGGUCGCCAGCCAAUCGCAAGGCACAUCGGGACAAAUACCCGCGCUCACAAUUGCACCUAUGGGCAAUUUAGUGUCCAAUUAAUGUUGCAUGUUUUUGGGAUGUGGGAGGAAACCAGAGUGCCCGGGGAAAACCCACACAGGCACGGGGACAACAUGCAAACUCCACACAGGCGGGGCCGUGAUCGAACCCGGGACCUCAGAACUGUGAGGCCAACGCUUUACCAGCUGACCCACCGUGGCGCCUCUUCAAAUAAAUAUGUCAUGUCAUUAUCCAAGCCGCUUAUCCUCACAAGGGUUGCCUGAGCCUAUCCCAACUAGCUUUGGUCGAAAGGCGGACUACACCCUGAAAAGCUCGCCGGCCGGUCGCAGGGCAGAUACCGACACCAUCACUGAGCGGGAAUCGAUCCCACGCUGCCCGCACCAAAGGCAGGCGUGUGUACCGCUACCCCAUCAGUGACUCCUCAAAUAAAUAUUGUGUAUUGAAAUGAAUUCAAAUGGCAUUAACUCGCUCCAGCAGGAAGCAACCCCCAUUUUUUUUUCUAGGAAACUGUAUUUUAAUGCUUAUUUGAUGCAUUCUACAGCUAAAAAGUAAUAAUAGGUGUCAAUUAUUAACAGAUUUUUUUUACUAUUCACGGUUAGGAAAGCUCCCAAAUAACAACAGUCGACUGUUUGUUGUUUAGAUUUGUAUUUUGAGCGGCCAUGUUGUCUUGCUUUUGAAUGGCCACGCCCUCCCGCACACCUGAGCGCAAAUGAACAGCAGCUGCCGAUUGGCGCAAGGGGGGGACCGCUUAAAUAGAGCCGACGUGUUGUCGCUCACUACGCGCAGCGCCGGGCCGCAGGAUCAAGCUGAAGUUGCGAAAGCCAAGCAAGCGCUGCAGGACUCGGCGAUCACCAUGGCGAUGCUCUGUGACUUGUGUGUGAGGGUGCUUGUUCUCUUGCUGAUUGGCUUCGGUCUCCAUGCAAAUGGGGGUGGUUCUCACCAUCGUAGUUUUGCAGCCCCUCGAAGUCAAUCAACUCGAUGGGAUCCACAGCAAUACAGACCACGUGAGUCCCACUCGCAGUUUUUUGCUGCCGCGCCCGCGUCUGGACAGUACGGCGAAAGUUCACCCCAGGGAGGUCCGGUUGUCGGGGCCGGGGCUCGGUCGUUCUCCCCAGUAAAAAGCGUCUGCCCCGUCUGUCCUCAUUGCCCCGAGCACGUUUCUUGCCCGCUGCCCGGCCAUUGCCCUCCGCCGCACUGCAAACGCGGCUAUCGCCCUUGCCCUUGCCGGCCGUCUUGCUGCAAGCCGUCUCGUGUGUGUCGCCCUUGGUAUCCUUGGUAGGAACCUCCGUGUCUGAGCAGGUUAUCUGCCAUUGAUUGGGUGCUUCCCUAUGCAGCGACUAUUUAAUAAAUGUCAUGAAAUUCAA